UCCAGGAGCUGGAAAUGCAAGAUAAUUUGUGCCUGACUCUAAUUUGGCCUAAAAAGACCUGUAGCAGUUAACAAGCUAUUAGAUGCACAAUAGCACAAAAUGACCACCACCACUAUCACCCUAAAGUGUGUGCUUGGUGUCUGUCUACACGUGCUUGCUUCUGGAAUGUUGAAGAACAAACUGUGUUGAAACGCCAACUGGAGUUGGUCAUGGACCUUUGCCGCCCUUCAUCCAGAGCCUUCCACAGAGAUGGCAGAUAUAUCGCUGCCUGGACCAACAGUUGACCAUGCCGUUGAGUCCAUGAUAUCAGUAGCAGCCAUGAAAACAUCUACAGAAUUACAUCUGCGGCCGUGCCUAUUAAUGGAUACAUUCUGCACCACUUCCAUGUGCUGUCAGUUUGAAACGUCUCUACUCUGACAGAAGGAAGGGAAUGAAUACCCAGGAUUGUUCCUCAGGAAAAUCUCUUCAACAGGCUGUUGUCAGUUUGCAUGCUCUUUGGAUGGAAUUACCCUACCUUGGCUUGCAGAGAAUCUGUGAUAUAAAAGACCUCUUUUGUGCUGCAUUGUGUCAUUGAUUUAUUGUAUUUUAUAUGUAUUAUGCCACUAUUGUAAAAACAAAUGGGCAUAUGUUUUAGCAUAUGUUUUCAAACAGACACAUUUAUAUUUCAAACAGACACAUUUAUAUUUUUUAAUAAUUUGAAAAUACAUUUUGUAGGUUGACUUCACACCAUGAAACAUUAAUGGUAGGUUAUAUUUGACCAGAACAUGACAAGUAUUGUUUUCGGAGUUUUUUGGUCGAAGGUGAAGGUAAUGGCUAACAGUGGUUAUUCUGCACAAUGACCCUUGAAUUCUUUGACCUAGGACCAUUAAUAUUUAGUGAUUGAUAUAUCAGUCCAACUCAUAUGUGAAAGGGACAUGAUGAAGUUGAGCAAGAGCUUAUUAGCAUUGCAAAUUAUUAUUUGUUCAUUUUUAGCUCGACUAUUCGAAGAAUAGGUGGGCUAUACUAUCAUUAACAAUUCUGCGUUAAAGUUUUCAUUUUAUGUAAUAAAAUCAAGAGUUUUUAUCCAAUGGUAAUCAAACUUGGUCAGACUAUUUGUCGGCAUGUUGAAGAUGUAUGAAUAUGGGUCAUCCCUGGUCAAAUUCUAGGUCACUAGGUCACAUCUUAGAGAAAAUAUUUCCAUGUCGUAAAUUCAACAUUUUUUUCAUAUCUUUAUGAAACUUGGUCAGAAUAUUUGUCUGCAUACUAUCUUGAAAGUUUUUUAAUAUGGGUCAUCCCGGGUCAAAUUCUAGGUCACUAGGUCAAAUCUUAGGAAAAUCAUUCCACAUCAUAAAUUGAACAAUUUUUGUCAAAUCUUUAUGAAACUUGGUCAGAAUAUUUGUCUGCAUAAUAUCUUAAAAGUUCUAUAA
This is a long non-coding RNA of Mya arenaria, 1406 nucleotides long. RefSeq lists it as uncharacterized. NCBI's taxonomy places the organism in Eukaryota, Metazoa, Mollusca, Bivalvia, Myida, Myidae. The record is from RefSeq and is a predicted model, not a curated record. The transcript has 4 exons.